RNAcentral lists this ribosomal RNA (439 nucleotides) under uncultured bacterium. Its description in RNAcentral is "partial 16S ribosomal RNA". It matches the Rfam family "Bacterial small subunit ribosomal RNA", at positions 339 to 795 of the family's 1533-position model. The record is from RNAcentral.
CUACGGGACGCUCCAGUGAGGAAUAUUGCACAAUGGGGGGAACCCUGAUGCAGCAACGCCACGUGGAGGAUGACGCAUUUCGGUGUGUAAACUCCUUUUAUAUGUCAAGAAAAUGACGGUAGCAUAUGAAUAAGCACCGGCUAACUCCGUGCCAGCAGCCGCGGUAAUACGGAGGGUGCAAGCGUUACUCGGAAUCACUGGGCGUAAAGGACGCGUAGGCGGGUUGGAAAGUCAGGUGUGAAAUCCUACAGCUUAACUGUAGAACUGCACUUGAAACUUCUAAUAUAGAGUAUGGGAGGGGGAGAUGGAAUUAGUGGUGUAGGGGUAAAAUCCGUAGAUAUCACUAGGAAUACCUAAAGCGAAGGCGAUCUCCUGGAACAUUACUGACGCUAAGGCGUGAAAGCGUGGGGAGCAAACAGGAUUAGAUACCCGUGUAGUC